This 404-nucleotide ribosomal RNA is filed under the name uncultured eukaryote. Its description in RNAcentral is "eukaryotic LSU rRNA". It matches the Rfam family "Eukaryotic large subunit ribosomal RNA", at positions 843 to 1242 of the family's 3401-position model. The record is from RNAcentral.
AGAAUGAAGUCAGAGGAAACUCUGAUGGAAGUUCGUAGGGGUUCUGACGUGCAAAUCGAUCUUUAAACUUGAGUAUAGGGGCGAAAGACUAAUCGAACCAUCAAGUAGCUGGUUCCCUCCGAAGUUUCCCUCAGGAUAGCUGGAACUUGAAGAAAUAGUUUUAUCAGGUAAAGCGAAUGAUUAGAAGCUCUGGGGAUGAAACAUCCUCGACUUAUUCUCAAACUUUAAAUAGGUAAGAUGAUUGCAGUACUUAAUUGACUGUCAGUCUCUUGAAUAGUAAGUUCUUAGUGGGCCAUUUUUGGUAACGCAGAACUGGCGAUGUGGGAUGAACCAAACGUAAAGUUAAAGUGCCUAAAAGUACGUUCAUCAGAUACCACAAAAGGUGUUGAUUCAUCUUGACAGUU